CAGGCGAGGUAUAGGAGUAGACUGGACAUCUGAUGCAGUGUUGUAAGGUUUGAAGAAUUUCUGUCUCAGCGCUGUCGAUGGUGGAGUGCAAGACUGCUACGCAUAUGCCCUAUCUCAUGAUCCGUACUUACGUAAAAUCGACGCUUUGGAUUAUGAUCCGGCUAGCUAUAAACUAUUCAGUUUAACACUAAUUAUUAAUAAUUUGGUUUCAGAUAUCAACACUCCACUAUACCCACAAUUCAUAAGCUAUCUUCAGAUAUAAACAGACAUAUGCAUGAAGGAAAAUCAGGAGGUGCUGCUUUACUAGACAUGGAAAAAGCUUUUGAUUCUAUAUGGUUGAACGGUCUGUUAUAUAAAUUAAACGAAAAACAAUUCUGAUCAAAGACAUGAUAUACAAAAUGCAUAACAAAACAUUUAAAACGUGGGAUGGUACCAAUACAACAAAUCUCACAUUUAACACCACUGAUGGCUUACAAUGACUUAUAUCAAUGACUUAUUAAAUUUACAUAAUAUCAAUAAUAAUAAUAACAUAGAAUUACUUGCAUAUGCAAACGAUAUAAUUGUAUACACAGCUGAUAAAUAUCCAAACAGUAUACAAAAUCAAUUACAAACAAUAGUUGAAAAAAUUAGUCAUUGGCUGAUAAAUUAGAAUGUAAAACUAAACCCAAAUAAAUGUGAAACAAUACUUUUGAGGAAAACA
Long non-coding RNA from Megalopta genalis, 700 nucleotides. RefSeq lists it as uncharacterized. The record is from RefSeq and is a predicted model, not a curated record. Lineage: Eukaryota; Metazoa; Arthropoda; Insecta; Hymenoptera; Halictidae.